RNAcentral lists this transfer RNA (70 nucleotides) under Microcosmus sulcatus. RNAcentral's name for it is "transfer RNA-Asn". The record is from RNAcentral. Lineage: Eukaryota; Metazoa; Chordata; Ascidiacea; Stolidobranchia; Pyuridae.
ACUAACAGAGCUGUAUUUAGUGUGAUAGCUGUUAACUAUUGAGAAAUUGUGUGUAAACAAUUGUUGGUGU